This 253-nucleotide ribosomal RNA is filed under the name uncultured bacterium. RNAcentral's name for it is "partial 16S ribosomal RNA". It matches the Rfam family "Bacterial small subunit ribosomal RNA", at positions 524 to 776 of the family's 1533-position model. The record is from RNAcentral.
UACGUAGGGGGCAAGCGUUGUCCGGAUUUAUUGGGCGUAAAGCGCGUGUAGGCGGUCCGGUAAGUCCGCUGUGAAAGUCGAGGGCUCAACCCUCGAAUGCCGGUGGAUACUGUCGGGCUUGAGUACGGGAGAGGCGAGUGGAAUUCCUGGCGUAGCGGUGAAAUGCGCAGAUAUCAGGAGGAACACCGAUUGCGAAGGCAGCUCGCUGGGACGGUACUGACGCUGAGGCGCGAAAGCGUGGGGAGCAAACAGG